GACGAACGCUGGCGGCGUGCCUAAUACAUGCAAGUUGAGCGCUGAAGGUUGGUACUUGUACCGACUGGAUGAGCAGCGAACGGGUGAGUAACGCGUGGGGAAUCUGCCUUUGAGCGGGGGACAACAUUUGGAAACGAAUGCUAAUACCGCAUAAAAACUUUAAACACAAGUUUUAAGUUUGAAAGAUGCAAUUGCAUCACUCAAAGAUGAUCCCGCGUUGUAUUAGCUAGUUGGUGAGGUAAAGGCUCACCAAGGCGAAGAUACAUAGCCGACCUGAGAGGGUGGUCGACCAACACGGGACUGGGACACGGCCCAAGACCCUACGGGGGGCAGCAGGAGGGGAUCUUCGGCAAUGGAGGAAAGGCUGAACGAGCAAAGCCGCGGGAGGGGAGAAGGGUUUCGGAUCGUAAAACUCUGUUGGUAGAGAAGAAAGUUGGUGAGAGUGGAAAGCUCAUGAAGUGACGGUAACUACACAGAAAGGGACGGCUAACUACGUG
Molecule: ribosomal RNA, 497 nt
Filed under: uncultured bacterium
Lineage: Bacteria
Description: partial 16S ribosomal RNA
Rfam family: Bacterial small subunit ribosomal RNA
Source: RNAcentral